This 373-nucleotide ribosomal RNA is filed under the name uncultured organism. Its description in RNAcentral is "partial 16S ribosomal RNA". It matches the Rfam family "Bacterial small subunit ribosomal RNA", at positions 527 to 896 of the family's 1533-position model. The record is from RNAcentral.
GUAGGUGGCAAGCGUUGUCCGGAAUUAUUGGGCGUAAAGCGCGCGCAGGCGGUCCUUUAAGUCUGAUGUGAAAGCCCACGGCUCAACCGUGGAGGGUCAUUGGAAACUGGGGGACUUGAGUACAGAAGAGGAAAGCGGAAUUCCAAGUGUAGCGGUGAAAUGCGUAGAGAUUUGGAGGAACACCAGUGGCGAAGGCGGCUUUCUGGUCUGUAACUGACGCUGAGGCGCGAAAGCGUGGGGAGCAAACAGGGAUUAGAUACCCUGGUAGUCCACGCCGUAAACGAUGAGUGCUAAGUGUUAGGGGGUUUCCGCCCCCUUAGUGCUGCAGCUAACGCAUUAAGCACUCCGCCUGGGGAGUACGGCCGCAAGGCUG